UUUGGCGUCAGCAUGCAGAUCCAUUUUCUGCCACCGAAUACAUUAGCAUGGGAUAAUGGAAUAGGACCCUGUCCUCCUAUUUUCAGUUGGUUUUGGCAGCGCGAGGACUAGGGUAAUGAUUAAUAGGGAUAGUUGGGGGCAUUAAUAUUUAAUUGUCAGAGGUGAAAUUCUUGGAUUUAUGAAAGAUUAACUUCUGCGAAAGCAUCUGCCAAGGAUGUUUUCAUUAAUCAAGAACGAAAGUUAGGGGAUCGAAGACGAUCAGAUACCGUCGUAGUCUUAACCAUAAACGAUGCCGACCAGCGAUUAGGAGACGUUGAAUACAAAACACCACCAUCGGUUGCGGUCGUCCUUGGCGUCUCGGUUUCGGCCGGGGCGCGGGGACGGUUUAGCCCGGUGGCACCGGUGAAUGACUCCCUAGCACUUUUGUGAGAA
This 432-nucleotide ribosomal RNA is filed under the name Acanthamoeba sp. MN-ISP20-T4. Its description in RNAcentral is "SSU rRNA". The stretch from base 1 to 366 matches the Rfam family "Eukaryotic small subunit ribosomal RNA", at positions 770 to 1116 of the family's 1831-position model. The record is from RNAcentral. Lineage: Eukaryota; Discosea; Longamoebia; Acanthamoebidae.